RNAcentral lists this non-coding RNA (29 nucleotides) under Mus musculus (house mouse). The record is from RNAcentral. Lineage: Eukaryota; Metazoa; Chordata; Mammalia; Rodentia; Muridae.
UAAUAAAGGAUAUAGCACCACUUCGGAUG